Molecule: ribosomal RNA, 245 nt
Filed under: uncultured bacterium
Lineage: Bacteria
Description: partial 16S ribosomal RNA
Rfam family: Bacterial small subunit ribosomal RNA
Source: RNAcentral
UACGUAGGGGGCGAGUGUUGUUCGGAAUUAUUGGGUGUAAAGGGAGCGUAGGUUGACAGGUAAGUCAGAGGUGAAAAGCUCGCGCUUAACGCGAUGCCCUGCCUUUGAAACUGCCUGUCUUGAGUGUUGGAGAGGGUGACGGAAUUCCUGGUGUAGCGGUGGAAUGCGUAGAUAUCAGGAAGAACACCGGUUGCGAAGGCGGUCAUCUGGCCAAACACUGACACUGAGGCUCGAAAGCCGGGGGA